GUGGACAACCUGCCCGGGGGACGGGGAUAGCCCUCCUAACGGAGGGGUAAUACCCGGCGACCUGGUUUCGAGGCAUCUCGAGGCCAGCAAAGGAGUUUCGCCCCCGGAGGGGUUCACGUGGUAUUAGCUAGUUGGCGGGGUAACAGCCCACCAAGGCUCAGAUGCCUAGCAGGUGUGAGAGCACGACCUGCGCCACUGGCACUGUGACACUGGCCAGACUCCUACGGGAGGCUGCAGUCGAGGAUCUUCGGCAAUGGGCGCAAGCCUGACCGAGCGACGCCGCGUGUGCGAUGAAGGCCUUCGGGUUGUAAAGCACUGUCGAGGGGGAGGAAAGCCCGCAAGGGCCUGACCUAUCCCUGGAGGAAGCACGGGCUAAGUUCGUGCCAGCAGCCGCGGUAAGACGAACCGUGCGAACGUUGUUCGGAUUCACUGGGCUUAAAGGGCGCGUAGGCGGGCAGACCAGUCGGGGGUGAAAUCUCACGGCCCAACCGUGAAACAGCCUCCGAUACUAGCUGCCUC
Molecule: ribosomal RNA, 519 nt
Filed under: uncultured Planctomycetota bacterium
Lineage: Bacteria; Pseudomonadati; Planctomycetota
Description: bacterial SSU rRNA
Rfam family: Bacterial small subunit ribosomal RNA
Source: RNAcentral